UACAUGACUCCCGGCAAUGGAUAUCUUGGCUCUCGCAUCGAUGAAGGACGUAGCCGAAAUGCGAUGCUUGGUGUGAAUUGCAGAAUCCCGUGAACCAUCGAGUCUUUGAACGCAAGUUGCGCCUGAGGCUAUCUGGCUAAGGGCACGCCUGCCUGGGCAUCACGCCUCGCGACGCUUCGCGCC
Molecule: ribosomal RNA, 183 nt
Filed under: Crinum fimbriatulum
Lineage: Eukaryota; Viridiplantae; Streptophyta; Magnoliopsida; Asparagales; Amaryllidaceae
Description: 5.8S ribosomal RNA
Rfam family: 5.8S ribosomal RNA (bases 6-162)
About the family: 5.8S ribosomal RNA (5.8S rRNA) is a component of the large subunit of the eukaryotic ribosome. It is transcribed by RNA polymerase I as part of the 45S precursor that also contains 18S and 28S rRNA.
Source: RNAcentral